UACGUAGGUGGCAAGCGUUGUCCGGAUUUAUUGGGCGUAAAGCGCUCGCAGGCGGUCUUUUAAGUCUGAUGUGAAAGCCCACGGCUUAACCGUGGAGGGUCAUUGGAAACUGGAGGACUUGAGUGCAGAAGAGGAGAGUGGAAUUCCAUGUGUAGCGGUGAAAUGCGUAGAGAUAUGGAGGAACACCAGUGGCGAAGGCGACUCUCUGGUCUGUAACUGACGCUGAGGAGCGAAAGCGUGGGUAGCGAACAGGAUUAGAAACCCGUGUAGU
This 271-nucleotide ribosomal RNA is filed under the name uncultured bacterium. RNAcentral's name for it is "partial 16S ribosomal RNA". It matches the Rfam family "Bacterial small subunit ribosomal RNA", at positions 524 to 794 of the family's 1533-position model. The record is from RNAcentral.